Cydia strobilella is the source of this 166-nucleotide long non-coding RNA. RefSeq lists it as uncharacterized. Lineage: Eukaryota; Metazoa; Arthropoda; Insecta; Lepidoptera; Tortricidae. The record is from RefSeq and is a predicted model, not a curated record. The transcript has 3 exons.
UUUUUGUAUGGAGCUACUUCCAAGUUGGUCCCGUAUUAAUCUGGUUCUGAUCUGAUGAUGGGAUCCCUGAGGAAUUAAGGGAACUCCUCAAUUUUUAAAGGCACAUGUAUGUUGGGUGUUUUCUUAAGCAACUCGAGCAUUUUCUCUCGAAAACCACCAAUUUGAU